This 391-nucleotide unclassified non-coding RNA is filed under the name soil metagenome. RNAcentral describes it as "partial contains 5.8S ribosomal RNA, internal transcribed spacer 2, and large subunit ribosomal RNA". The stretch from base 1 to 122 matches the Rfam family "5.8S ribosomal RNA", at positions 35 to 154 of the family's 154-position model. The record is from RNAcentral.
GAUGAAGAACGUAGCGAGAUGCGAUACUUGGUGUGAAUUGCAGAAUCCCGUGAACCAUCGAGUCUUUGAACGCAAGUUGCGCCCGAAGCCAUUAGGCCGAGGGCACGCCUGCCUGGGCGUCACACGUCGUUGCCCCCCCAUCUACUCCUUCGGGAUUGCGGGGGGCGGAUGAUGGCCUCCCGUGCGCCUCGUCGCGCGGUUGGCAUAAAUGCCAAGUCCUCGGCGACGCACGCCACGACAAUCGGUGGUUGCGAAACCUCGGUUGCCCGUCGUGUGCGGUCGUCGCGCAUCGAGGGCUCGAAAAAAUUGUCGGGCUCCGGCUCGGCUUUCAACGCGACCCCAGGUCAGGCGGGGUUACCCGCUGAAUUUAAGCAUAUCAAUAAGCGGAGGA